CAAAAUCUUGAUGUUGAUUUUUAGCAAAAUUCAAGAAUGGAUUUUUGUACAGAGCGUAUGUGAAAACUUAGAAAAUAGUGAGCAUGAGAAACCAGAGUAUUUUCUCUAGAAAAUACUCUGGGCCUUAGUAAAUCAGAGGAUCACAGGUAUUGCAAAGAUGGAGGGUGUGUGGACACAGUGAGGUGACACUUGCCUUGCUUCCCUGGACAGUGCUGCCCAAGCUGGCCUUCCUCUUAGUUCUUUUUGUCAGGAUGGAUGUGCUUGGGCUCAUCUUCCCGCUGACCUUUAGCCCCAUAGUAUAAAUACUCUUGUGUUCUACUCACCAGAGCUCUCCCAGAAAACAGAAUGCUUGAGGGAGGCUCUGCUCUCCUCUCCAUCCUGGCUUCAAGAGCUGGAAAUGGAACUGGAGCACCAUAAGGUAGGAUGGAGCAGCUUUUGGAAGACUUGAAGGAGAAGCAACAGGAGAUCUUGCUUUUCCAGGAGGAAUAACUAACCCAGGCACAGAUGGAGGAGUCUGGACUGCCAGGAUGUGGCUUGUUGGGCUGCAGGAAUCUCCUUCACGAAGAGACACCUGGGAGCCUUGAAGACUGGUUAAGCCUGGGACCCAUCAGGCAGCCAUUCCAAAUGGGGAGUGAGCCUAGCCAGUUGAAAGGCAGAGCUGAGCAAUCUGGAAGCCUUGCAAGGACUGAUUCCAGCAUGCUGACUUGGGUGUCCUCAAUAAGAGACACCUGGGAGCCUUGAUUGCUGCAGAAGCCCUGAACUUCAGAGAAGGGUAAGUACACAUAUCUCUCACCCAUUUCAGUGGCUGCCUCAAAAGGACUCUUAAGGGUGGGC
This 834-nucleotide long non-coding RNA is filed under the name Zalophus californianus (California sea lion). RNAcentral's name for it is "lncRNA (ENSZCAG00015021364.1)". The record is from RNAcentral. Lineage: Eukaryota; Metazoa; Chordata; Mammalia; Carnivora; Otariidae.